CCCUUAGAUGUUCUGGGCUGCACACGUGCUACACUGGCAGGUUCAGCGAGCUUCAUGCCCUGAUCUGAAAGGAAUGGGAAAUCUUUUCAAAACCUGCCGUGCUUGGGAUAGAUGUUUGCAAUUAUUCAUCUUCAACGAGGAAUACCUUGUAAGCGCGGGUCAUCAUCCCGCGCUGAAUACGUCCCUGCCCUUUGUACACACCGCCCGUCGCUCCUACCGAUUGAGUGGUCCGGUGAGGCUUUGGGAUCUGAGCGGAAAGAGCGUUUCGCUGUUUCUGCUCGGAAAACUCAGUCGAACCUUAUCAUUUAGAGGAAGGAGAAGUCGUAACA
This 329-nucleotide ribosomal RNA is filed under the name uncultured eukaryote. Its description in RNAcentral is "partial 18S ribosomal RNA". It matches the Rfam family "Eukaryotic small subunit ribosomal RNA", at positions 1470 to 1796 of the family's 1831-position model. The record is from RNAcentral.